Molecule: long non-coding RNA, 5912 nt
Organism: Anopheles gambiae (African malaria mosquito)
Lineage: Eukaryota; Metazoa; Arthropoda; Insecta; Diptera; Culicidae
Exons: 2
Source: RefSeq, a predicted model, not a curated record
UACUGGUUUGUGUAAUUCUAGAUUUGUGAUCAUAAAUGUCGCAUACGAUCUAUCAAUGCCAAAUUUCCAGAAAGCUAUCACGAUGCUUUUGUAUGGGGAGUGAGUGCUGCUCGAACACAUUUCGAAGAACUAAACAGAACCGGAAGAAUUGAUAAAUUACUUGGUAAUAUAAAUCAGUACACCUAUACAGACUUGCGUAAUUAUAGUACUACUGUUUUAACACAGGUGACGCCGGAUACCCAGGAGAACCUUGGCUUGUUAGACCACAUAGAGAUCCUGAUCCUGGUUCUGAAGAAGCAUUAUUCAACUCAUCUCAUUCCUCUGGCCGGAUACUCGUAGAGAUGACUAUAGGAAUAUUAAAAUCGUGAUUUAGAUGUCUUAAUGGUAUAGACGGUUGCCUUAAUUAUGCACCAGAAAAAUGUGGCAAAAUCAUAAAUGUUUGCAGUGCAUUGCACAACAUAUGUGUUGAGCAUAAUUUGGAGUGGAAUCAGCUGUUCAAUGACAUUAUGCUCAGUGUGCAUUAGAUAGCAUCAGAUUAAUUUGCUGCUUUGUUCUACAAUCAACCUCAACUAUAUUGAUACUGAGGCUUUUUAUACUUCUUAGAUGGGACGGACAGAGGAGAGUGUUUGUUAUCCUACUGGAAGAUUCGGAACCAUUCCCGUAUCAGCUAUGUUUUUCUACAUCCAUACCAGCAGAAUCAACCUACGAGCAGAAUCAUACCGGCGGUGACUGUAUCGUUACUUUUAAACACUUUUGCGCAUACCUUUGAGGCCACUCCGAAAUUUAGCACUUUGAACCGCGUCAAACGACGAUGGUGGACCCGGUAUAAGCUAUACUAGGUAUAAAGCUAUAUGACGUGUAUGUCAACAUAUCUCCCCGUCAUGAAAUGAAUCAAACUCACUAGGCCACGAUGAACUGUGAAUGUUAUGUGCAUGACACUCGAUGACCAAGCUCAAAGAUUGCAUCGUAGCCUGGCGAAACUGUAGGAGCGUCUGAUUAAUAUGUAAAUGAGCUGCUUUUUAUGCCUGGAUAUCUUCUCGACGUUAGAAGUGUGAGCAUUGUAGAGACUAAACAAGUUAUUACAAAUUGGGUUAGGAAUUGUAUUUAUUGGUUACAUUAAAGUUCGCAUUUAUUCUUUACUAAUUUGUUUAUACUCUAGCUCUAGCUCCAUUUUGGCUAUGGUUAAUUUUAACUCGCGGUCUUUCUCCGCUAACUUCCUUGUGAGAUUCAAUUCUUCUCUUUUUAGAUCAAGCUUUGCUUGUUUUAAUUCCAUAUUUUUUAAUUCUAUUUCUUUUUCGAAUGCAAAUUUUUGUUUUUCUAAAUCUAGUCUUUCCUUGUCCAAAUCUAGCUGUUGUUGGCGAAUAAUAUUUUGCUGCUGUUUAAUUCGACCAUAAUGCUUAUGUUCCAGCAAUUGCAAUUCAGCUAUUGUUCUUUUGCGUCGUGUUGUACGUUGAUUUGUGUUAUUUUGCCCUGACUGAGAUGAUCUCUGUGGUGUUCUUUCACUGUCAUUCGUUUCAUUUAGAUGCUGUAGAGAUGGUGAUGAUGGUAACUCCAUAAACUGUGGAGUUGGUGCUGCAGGAGAUGGUGACGCAGGCAAUGGUGAUGAGAGUGAAAUUGGUUGGAUUGCUGAUUGUGAUGGCCUUUCUGCCAACGGUGUUUCCCGAACAGAGAUAGGUGCUGAACCUGAUGAAUAAGAUGGUGCCCCUAACUCUUUAGUGUUUAGCCCAACAACGCUAUCUUUUAACUGCAAGAUGUCAAUAACGUGACUUUCAAGUGCAGAAAAACUAUACAUCGUGCAUGGUCCUCCUCCAGUUGCUCUAUACUCACGGUUAUUGUGCGAUAAUUUUUUCUUCAUCCCCGAUCUAAAAUCUGCCCAUACCUGUAUCGUGAACGAUUAAAAUGCAUAUAAAUACAUAAUUCACAUGCACAAUAGUUCCAAAAUGUUGAAGACUUGUUGACUACUUUCCUUUUUCCACCCAGAACCGUCUUUAGUCGGGGGUCCUAAGAGAUUCAGAUCUUUAGCAAUAUCAUUCCAAAAAGUUGAGGUUCCUUUUUGCUUAUCAUGUAUGAUAGCUUCGUUCCUUUCUAUCAGCUCCACCAUUUUUUCAAACUGUGCCUUUGUUGUAGUUUUUCGUUUUUCCUAAAAUUAAAAUGUAUGUCAUCAUUAAAUAGGUCAUGGUUAUCUUAUUUUUAAUAAAUAAAACGUAAUAAAUGUUGGUAUAAUUUAUUUGAAUAUAGUUUUACACAAAUUAGGUUUUGUUUUUGAUAUGAUUCAUUCCUUGAUUUAAUGACAAAUCCGAUUAAUACAAAUACCUGUUCCGUUAACACGUUGAGUGCGAUAAUAUGCGCGGUGGCACUUAUUCGUUCACUGGUUGGCCCUGCAUUAAACUUAUGUUAAGAAAGAUCCAUCUAGGCCACAUACUCGCUCCCCCUCCCCCUCUCACUUAUCACCCAAGAAUAACUUGAAAUCUCCUGCCCUUGUACAUUGAAACCGACAGGACAUUAGAUGAUUAAAAAAAUACUUUAUGGAUUCAUUGCCCACAAUUAUUGAUAACAAAUCUGGAUGUAAACCAUGUCGGCAGCAUUUGCAUUUGCCGUGACAUGAUUGAACUUGCAAGGAAAGCUAGUUUUCUGUUGUUGUUUCCGGCGAAUGAAUGACUAAUGGAACAGAACUGUUAGCACAGUGUAGGGCUCAACGUUUUGAUUUUGACUGGUUUUGAAGAGUAUUGCCAUAAAAUUACUGUAAAACUUAUAUACGAAAACUUACAGCCAUUUUUCCAUAAGAUACACCCUCCAAUGCACUCGAUGCUUCCUUCACUUUUGACGCCUGAACUUCAAGUAAGACCGCAGUCAAACGCACGAACACAUACCCACACACACACAUACUCACCUUUAAUUUGUUUACAUUGAUGAAAUGUCACCGGAUUUUGGCGCGCAGAUAAUCGGGUUAGUUUAUUUAAGCAAAUUCACAAUUUUUACAUUUUCCAUAACCCUUUUCCUGCCCCUUCCCCUGUGUCCCGCGAUGGGUCUAGAGGGAGGGAAUGUUCUAGCUCUUAGGAGCGCAUCCUUUCGGAUGCGUAGUCUUACUGAUAAACGUGCACUCUCUCCGCCCUUGUGUGGGGCAAUUUCGCACCAAUUGCUACGAGUUGGCCUUCCUCCGCGGAAGCACGCGUAUAUAAUUACUUGGCUAGCGGGAGGCUACGUCUGCCUUUACCGUCGCGCCUCCUCUGCCGCGGUCAAACCGCAUUGCCGGUUGUACGAAAAGGCCAGCUCAGGAUGAAAAGACUCCCCAUUGUCUACAUCUCCUCCUUGAACCCAUCGUCUCUCUUCCUGUUGAUGCUGGCGGUGUCGCUGCCGCAGUAUCGCCAUCCGUGCGCGGAUACUCGCCCGUCUCUCCGACGUUCGUAGUGAUGAUGAAGGCGUAGAUGGCCGUUCGCCUCGCUGCUCCACCCUUUGGCGCACCGUCUGAGUCCUUCUCGCAACAUUCCGAAGAUCAUUUCGGGCCCGUCAGACUACGUCGGAGUCUAGCCGGUUGUCUAUUCCAACAUGACCUGUGCUUACUACUGCAUUUUGGUGCUGGUUAUUUUAAACUGACAUUCUUACUUUAGUUUGAUGUUUGUUCGCAACGAUCGUACCAAAAACAACCUUAUUUUUGUUUUUGGCAUAACAGCCGUUGUCGGUGCAGGCCUGUCUGUACCACUAGUGGGCUUUGCUUACAGUUACUUAUUGAUUACCAUAGCAGGAUAUGUCAGUCCUACGGUUGGAAUCACGAUCCAUUUAGGAUCGUUAAUAGUCACACAAAUAAAUGAGGCCUCGGGUGAUCUUAUGUAAGACUCACUGGCUCUGUUACCGAGAGUUAAAACGUAGUUCAAUUCUUAUCCGGACCACCCCCUCUUGCAAGUACGGACGACGCAGUUACGUGGUACAAAAUAGUCUCGUCAGCCUGUUAAAGCCAGCUGGACUGAAAAACCUUUUAUGCCAGUUAUGCCAGCGUUAUGCCAGGAAAAAGAAGAACAAAAAUAAAUUAAACAGAAGAAGAAAAACUUAAAUUUUUUUGAUUAAAUUUUUUUAUAUUUAAUUUAGACUAUUAUUUUUACAAUUUAAAAACUAAUAAAAUUUCUGAAAUACCCCAACAGUGAUUUUAAAGCGCUAUUUCCGUGAUAAAACCAUUCAAAUUCAAUCAAAAGAAAAAAUCCGUGACAAAUCCGCUGCUCAAAAGGUCGCGCAUUUCUAUCCAUAUAAACGGGAACGAACGACACCGUGUAUAACAGUGGUUUUACUCUCAUUUCAUGUUGCAACCGCUCUUUUAAAUUUGAGUGACUCGUGAGAUACAAUGAGAGCAAAAUGAGCGCCCCGCGGCGUUCUUUCAGGGGCGUUCGUUCCGCCCGAUACGGCCGAUAGUAAUUAUACAAAACACAAUACCAGGAAACAAACUGCAAACCACGUUUAAUCCAAAGGAGAUUCUCGUAAAUGAAAAGGAAGGGCCGAGGGUGACUAUUAUGGAUACAGAGACGGGUAAAAAGUUCAAAAGAAACUCGGCACACUUAAAGAAAAUUACCAACACCGACAUCAGAGAAUCAGAACUCAGAGAACCUCAAGAAGAAACUAGGAAUAAUUUAGAGGAAACAACGAGUCGUGGGCAACGGCAAAGGAAAGCUCCAGCCAAAUUAGCGGAUUACGAAAUAGAUUAGUGAUAUAACAUUAGGUUGUGAAUUGUAUUAGAGAAAGGCAGGUAAACAGAAAUAAUGCAGAAACAAGAGAUAUGAAUUCAUAACAAACAGUGAAAAAGAAAAAAAAGAAGGAAGUGAUGUGGUACGGCAACUGUAGCUACCCAUCACCACAACAUGAUGACAAAGAUUAGCGGUGCAAAGAAGAUCGGAUUAGAUCAAUCCGGAUGGGAUUACAACAUGGAACAGGGAACUGGAUGAAGGACCAUCACUAUAAAGGGACGAGAUGAUAAAGCAAGUUUAAUGCAGGACGCGGACCGAGACAGACGAACAUUGAGGGUACCACAGCAGGUAUCCGUCCAACAGCAGGUUUCAGUGGUAAAUGUGCAGAAAUCUGUGUGGUGGAAUGCGUAAAACAGCACUUUUGAAAAGUUAACUGUCAAGUGAUGUUGUCGGGCUAUGGUGAUGCACGCACGCACCACAAUGUGCAGGGACAUUCACCGACAGAAAGAUUUUGUUCCGUAAGUAUUAUAAACAGAUGUGGAUGUUCAUUUAUAGUGCAUCAAACACAAUUAUCAUAUGCAUGCAAUUUUGUUACAUUAUAUUUCAGCGACAUGCAGUUACACACAGAGCGGGAGUCAACAAAGGUAGAUGUACGAAAAGCCGCUACUAGUUGAUCGUGACGGACGAUAAAAUGAGGUCCCUUCGAACUAUUUGAGAGGAAUCGUCCUAAAUUUGUUGACGACACGGUAGCAUUUGCUGGAACCAAAUACCUUUCCUUACAACAGGAUGUGUCGUAAACGGGAUGGUGCAAUUGCAGAUACGGUCUGUCGUACUGCAAAGGAUACAUAGUGUCAUAUGACCCCACCACACCCAGCGAUUGUCGUCCUAUUAUUGUGUAGAUAUGUUUUUGUAGGGCAUUUGCAUGAACAGUGCGGAUUGAACGUUUUACGUGUAGUAUAGUUGCGUAAUUUGUAAUGCAUUCGUGAACGGAAUUCUGUUUGCAUUCGUUGAAUGUACGUAACCAGGUAGCGUAGGGACACUGUAUGUGAUAGACUGAUAAUGAUAGGAAAAAAAUAACGUAAGGAAAGGUAAAAGAUGUGAUAACUCAAUGUUAUGUUAGAAUGAUAAAGAAUUUUUUUUUAAAUAAUCACGAUCCAGCUAGCUAGAUUAACUAGUCAUGCACAAAAAUGAUCCCCAUGUGCUGUACAAAAAACGAAUUCAAUAUAUUUAUAUAUAAUUAGA